GUAUAGUAGUGCUUGUGCACAACAGUAAUUUCAUUACAUUCGAGUGGGUGUAAAAUCCUCUGCUCGCCGAAGCUAGCAAGAGGCCAAAGGUUCACAGGGUAUUGGAUGAAAGCUGUCUCCGUGCACUUGCCAGAGUGACCUGAGUGACCUGGCCAGCACUGGAGACAACGAUUCGCAAUCAAUAAUGAUCCUUCCGCAGGUUCACCUACGGAAA
This 214-nucleotide unclassified non-coding RNA is filed under the name uncultured fungus. RNAcentral's name for it is "sequence contains ITS1". Lineage: Eukaryota; Fungi. The record is from RNAcentral.